GCAUAUCAAUAAGCGGAGGAAAAGAAACCAACAGGGAUUGCCUCAGUAACGGCGAGUGAAGCGGCAAGAGCUCAAAUUUGAAAGCUGGCUCCUUCGGGGUCCGCAUUGUAAUUUGCAGAGGAUGCUUCGGGAGCGGUCCCCAUCUAAGUGCCCUGGAACGGGACGUCAUAGAGGGUGAGAAUCCCGUAUGGGAUGGGGUGUCCGCGCCCGUGUGAAGCUCCUUCGACGAGUCGAGUUGUUUGGGAAUGCAGCUCUAAAUGGGUGGUAAAUUUCAUCUAAAGCUAAAUAUUGGCCGGAGACCGAUAGCGCACAAGUAGAGUGAUCGAAAGAUGAAAAGCACUUUGAAAAGAGAGUUAAAAAGCACGUGAAAUUGUUGAAAGGGAAGCGCUUGCGACCAGACUCGCUCGUGGGGUUCAGCCGGCAUUCGUGCCGGUGUACUUCCCCGCGAGCGGGCCAGCGUCGGUUUGGGCGGUCGGUCAAAGGCCCUCGGAAGGGUAACGCCCCCUCGGGGGGCGUCUUAUAGCCGAGGGUGCAAUGCGACCUGCCUGGACCGAGGAACGCGCUUCGGCUCGGACGCUGGCAUAAUGGUCGUAAGCGACCCGUCUUGAAACACGGACCAAGGAGUCUAACAUCUACGCGAGUGUUCGGGUGUCAAACCCGUGCGCGCAGUGAAAGCGAACGGAGGUGGGAACCCUUUUGGGUGCACCAUCGACCGAUCCUGAUGUCUUCGGAUGGAUUUGAGUAAGAGCGUAGCUGUUGGGACCCGAAAGAUGGUGAACUAUGCCUGAAUAGGGCGAAGCCAGAGGAAACUCUGGUGGAGGCUCGUAGCGGUUCUGACGUGCAAAUCGAUCGUCGAAUUUGGGUAUAGGGGGCGAAAGACUAAUCGAACCAUCUGGUAGCUGGUUUCCUGCCGA
RNAcentral lists this ribosomal RNA (914 nucleotides) under Penicillium soppii. Its description in RNAcentral is "LSU rRNA". It matches the Rfam family "Eukaryotic large subunit ribosomal RNA", at positions 38 to 964 of the family's 3401-position model. The record is from RNAcentral. Lineage: Eukaryota; Fungi; Ascomycota; Eurotiomycetes; Eurotiales; Aspergillaceae.